UACGAAGGGGGCUAGCGUUGCUCGGAAUCACUGGGCGUAAAGCGCACGUAGGCGGACUCUUAAGUCGGUGGUGGAAUCCUGGAGCUCAACUCCAGAACUGCCUUCGAUACUGAGAGUCUCGAGUCCGAGAGAGGUGAGUGGAACUGCGAGUGUAGAGGUGAAAUUCGUAGAUAUUCGCAAGAACACCAGUGGCGAAGGCGGCUCACUGGCUCGGUACUGACGCUGAGGUGCGAAAGCGUGGGGAGCAAACAGG
Molecule: ribosomal RNA, 253 nt
Filed under: uncultured bacterium
Lineage: Bacteria
Description: partial 16S ribosomal RNA
Rfam family: Bacterial small subunit ribosomal RNA
Source: RNAcentral